UCCUAACCGUGCAAAGGUAGCGCAAUCAAUUGUCCCAUAAAUCGGGACACGUAUGAAUGGCUAAACGAGGUCUUAACUGUCUCUUACAGGCAAUCGGUGAAAUUGAUCUCCCUGUGCAAAAGCAGGGAUAACCACAUAAGACGAGAAGACCCUGUGGAACUUCAAAAACAGCAACCACCCCAAUAUACAUUCACACCCACCCCGGGCUCACUUAUCCACAAAGCACUGGUUUGCAUUUUUUCGGUUGGGGCGACCUUGGAGCAAAGCAAAACCUCCAAAAACUGGACCAUCCCUCCAGACUAAGAGCAACUCCUCAACGUGCCAACAGCACCCAGACCCAAUAUAAUUGAUCAAUGGACCAAGCUACCCCAGGGAUAACAGCGCAAUCUCCUCCGAGAGUCCAUAUCGACGAGGAGGUUUACGACCUCGAUGUUGGAUCAGGACAUCCUAGUGGUGCAGGAGCUACUAA
This 469-nucleotide ribosomal RNA is filed under the name Melanocorypha bimaculata torquata. Its description in RNAcentral is "partial 16S ribosomal RNA". It matches the Rfam family "Bacterial large subunit ribosomal RNA", at positions 1940 to 2568 of the family's 2925-position model. The record is from RNAcentral. Lineage: Eukaryota; Metazoa; Chordata; Aves; Passeriformes; Alaudidae.